CACGGAAGGUGCUGCUGGCCCACAGCUGCGAGCGUCUCCUCUGUGCCGAACAGCAGCGCGGCUGGGGACAAACGUCCGAAUCACUCCGUCUUUGUGUGAGGAAUGUUUAGGUGGUGCUACACCGUCCUCUAGCAGUGACGCUGCUGUGCAGAGCCCUGAGGCCAGCCUGAAUUGUGUCUCUCAUCCAUGGCUGGCUAUGCUUGCUUGGCCGCCCAGGACAGAGAUUCUUCAUUUGGGAGGUUCAGCGUCACCACUGGGGAGCGUGACAGCCAGACUUCCAGCAAUCAGAGGACUUUCUCUGGCAGCCAAAGUCAGCUCUGCCCACAGCAAGCAAAGAG
RNAcentral lists this long non-coding RNA (338 nucleotides) under Equus caballus (horse). Its description in RNAcentral is "lncRNA (ENSECAG00000048896.1)". The record is from RNAcentral. Lineage: Eukaryota; Metazoa; Chordata; Mammalia; Perissodactyla; Equidae.